UACGUAGGGUGCAAGCGUUAAUCGGAAUUACUGGGCGUAAAGCGUGCGCAGGCGGUUGUGCAAGACAGAUGUGAAAUCCCCGGGCUCAACCUGGGAACUGCAUUUGUGACUGCACGGCUGGAGUGCGGCAGAGGGGGAUGGAAUUCCGCGUGUAGCAGUGAAAUGCGUAGAGAUGUGGAGGAAUACCAAUGGCGAAGGCAGCCCCCUGGGUUAACACUGACGCUCAUGCACGAAAGCGUGGGGAGCAAACAGG
RNAcentral lists this ribosomal RNA (253 nucleotides) under uncultured bacterium. RNAcentral describes it as "partial 16S ribosomal RNA". It matches the Rfam family "Bacterial small subunit ribosomal RNA", at positions 524 to 776 of the family's 1533-position model. The record is from RNAcentral.